GGAAAAGAAACUAACAAGGAUUCCCCUAGUAACGGCGAGUGAAGAGGGAAAAGCCCAAGAUUGAAAGCUGGCGUCUUCGGCGUCCGCAUUGUAAUCUCAAGAAGUGUUUUCCGCUUCGGACCAAGCCUAAGUUUCCUGGAAAGGAGCAUCGUAGAGGGUGAAAAUCCCGUACAUGGUUUGGAGCGCCCGGAGCUUUGUGAUACAUUUUCUAAGAGUCGAGUUGUUUGGGAAUGCAGCUCAAAAUGGGUGGUAAAUGCCAUCUAAGGCUAAAUAUUGGGGAGAGACCGAUAGCGAACAAGUACAGUGAUGGAAAGAUGAAAAGAACUUUGAAAAGAGAGUUAAACAGUACGUGAAAUUGCCAAAAGGGAAGGGUAGGAGGUCAGAGAUGGGGCCUGGGAUUCAGCCUUGCUUUUGCUCGGUGUAUUUCCCAAGUCGCAGGCCAACGUCGGUUUUGGACACUGGAGAAGGGUAAGAGGAAUGUGGCACUCUUCGGAGUGUGUUAUAGCCUCUUACUGGAUGCAGCGGCCGAGACCGAGGAACGCAGCGUACUCGUAAGAGCGGGCCUUCGGGCACCUUUACGCUUAGGGCGUUGGCAUAAUGGCCUUCUACCACCCGU
This 616-nucleotide ribosomal RNA is filed under the name Tranzscheliella hypodytes. RNAcentral describes it as "LSU rRNA". It matches the Rfam family "Eukaryotic large subunit ribosomal RNA", at positions 55 to 652 of the family's 3401-position model. Lineage: Eukaryota; Fungi; Basidiomycota; Ustilaginomycetes; Ustilaginales; Ustilaginaceae. The record is from RNAcentral.